GCUGUUUAAGAAGGCUGUUCUUCAACAUGUGGAACAUUUCCUCCUUUGAAAUGAAUCCAUCACCAUUCAAAUCAAACACUUCAAAGCAAUCUUUUAAAAAAUAGCCAAUUAGGAAUUAGAUAUUAUCCUUAAGCAUUGACUUGAAUUUGCUCCAUAAAAGAGGCUAAUGGGAAUUCAAACCAACCAACCAACCAACCAACCAACCAACCAACAGACAACCUACUUCACUGGAUGGGUUGGAAGAAAUCAAUUUAAAAUGUUUUAGAUAUGUUAGUAAUAACGUGCAAACCAGUAGAAUAACUUGAAAUCUUACAUUUCAUUUUUUCUUCCAAAGUUCCUCGAAGAAACAGUGAUAAUCCAUAUACCCACUCUGAUACACUUACACAACCAUCAUUGUCUUUAUCAAAACCUCGGAAUACUAAAAAGAAAAAGAAGGGCAAUAUAAUACUUGUGCUGCAUUUUUAAUCUCAGUAAUGUAUCUACAUUGGUACUACCCACUUUUAAAAUUUAAUCAAAACUUCAGGAUCAUAUGGUCCAACAUUCCCAUUUGACAAAGGAAGAAACUAACUUUCACAUUUUCUCCUCAUAUUUUGUGGGAACAAAGUAAAUUCUGAAUAUCUAAAUAUGUUAAUAACUAAUUAUUAACAUGUAACUGUGUUGGUAUAUUAAAUAUGUUGCUGUAUUAACAUAAAAUAUAUAAUUUUGAACUUUUGUUACUCAACACAUGUAAUGCUUUAUUACAUGGUAGACUGGACUAUAUCUUAAUUCUUAUUGAAAUACUUUCAAUGAUGUAAAGAAACUUAAAUGUCCUCUUAAAACUAUUCUUCUUAUUAUUAUAUUUACUAAGUAAAAAUAGAAAUAUUUUAGGUUUUCUGUUAUAAGGUAAGGGAAACCUAAUUAUUCAAGCUGACUCUGUCCACUUCUUAAAUACACAAAAUAGAGUGGAUACUAUUUCCAUCCCUAUGAUCUUUUUCUUUAAAAUUUU
This is a long non-coding RNA of Eptesicus fuscus (big brown bat), 985 nucleotides long. RefSeq lists it as uncharacterized. NCBI's taxonomy places the organism in Eukaryota, Metazoa, Chordata, Mammalia, Chiroptera, Vespertilionidae. The transcript has 2 exons. The record is from RefSeq and is a predicted model, not a curated record.